GAAAUGCGAUAAGUAAUGUGAAUUGCAGAAUUCAGUGAAUCAUCGAAUCUUUGAACGCACAUUGCGCCCGCCAGCACCCUGGCGGGCAUGCCUGUUCGAGCGUCAUUUCAACCCUCAGAACCCCUUGCGGGAUCUGGCGUUGGGGAUUGGCAUCCAGCCAGCCCCGAAAUCUAGCGGCGGUCCCUCCGCGACCUCCCCUGUGCAGUAGCGAUACCUCGCAGCGGGACAGCGGUCUGACCACGCCGUAAAACCCCCAACUUCUCAAGGUUGACCUCGAAUCAGGUAGGAAUACCCGCUGAACUUAAGC
RNAcentral lists this unclassified non-coding RNA (307 nucleotides) under plant metagenome. RNAcentral describes it as "partial contains 5.8S ribosomal RNA, internal transcribed spacer 2, and large subunit ribosomal RNA". The stretch from base 1 to 105 matches the Rfam family "5.8S ribosomal RNA", at positions 50 to 154 of the family's 154-position model. The record is from RNAcentral.